This is an RNA transcript of Ricinus communis (castor bean), 1468 nucleotides long. RefSeq lists it as uncharacterized. The record is from RefSeq and is a predicted model, not a curated record. The transcript has 5 exons. Lineage: Eukaryota; Viridiplantae; Streptophyta; Magnoliopsida; Malpighiales; Euphorbiaceae.
AAUAAUAACAAUCUUCCAAGAAAAGUGAAAAGGAGAGAAAGAAAGAGCGGCGGGCAUAAACAAACAGAGGUAGAAUUUGUAGAAAAUUAGUGGAGAAGAAGGGUGGGGAUGUCCCUUAUCCAAUUUGCCCUUUCAACCUCUUCAAAGUCCAAACGCUCACCUCCACCCUCUCUCCAUUUCUUUCUUCUUUCUGUGUGCACAGUAUUAUAUAUAUACACUUCGCAUUUUUUAACAGAAUAUACAAUAUAGAAACAGAAGAACAUUUUGUACAGCGAAUGAGACUGCAUCCAAUCAGAAUCUAGUCUAAGGAAAGAGAGAGAGAUCUUAGCGAAUCUAAUUCCAAAUGGGUAUGCAGGUCGCAGCUAAUUAUUAUCAGCACAAGUGUUUUAUGACUCCGACAUUACUGCCAAUCCCAUCGCCGAAAUUUACAUCUCUGAGAUUCUCUCCAAUAUUGGGUGCGUCUUCUUCAUUUCUUGAUUUCAAGAAGAAGGUAUUACAGAAAUCUGUUGGGUUCAGUUCUUUUCAAGACAGAAAGAGGAGUAGCAAUGGAAGAACUGCUGUUGUGGCUUCAUCAAGUAACGUGGCUGCACCUUUCUGGGGUUCUUGGAUGCCAGAAAAGACUUCUUCUUCUGCACCUUCUUUCAGCGACAUCUUCUGGCCCUCUGCAGGUGCAUUUGCGGCAAUGGCAAUAUUAGGUAGGAUUGAUCAAAUACUGGCGCCAAAAGGAAUUUCAAUGACAAUUGCUCCAUUAGGUGCUGUUUGUGCUGUCCUCUUUGCCACUCCUUCCUCCCCUGCUGCCCAGAAGUACAACAUGUUCAUGGCUCAGAUUGGUUGUGCAGCCAUUGGUGUUCUUGCCUUCUCAAUAUGUGGUCCCGGUUGGUUUGCUAGGAGUGCUGCCCUUGCUGCAUCAAUAGCUUUCAUGAUCUCUACACGUUCUACACACCCUCCAGUUGUUCAUGAACCAACGCCUAGCUGCAAGCUUGCCACUUCUGUUCAUUGAUGGAGUAAAGCUUCACCACUUAAACUUUUGGUACGCUUUGUUCCCAGGCGCUGCUGGAUGCAUUAUCCUUUGUUUGAUUCAAGAGAUAGUUUGUUACAUGAAGGACAGAUUCAAAUUCUAAAUAUCCCUAUGUGAAUAUGUCAUCGACUGCCAAUGAAAUCACCUCCAAGGCGAACAUUUUAUCCGCCAAUGGAAAAUAAGCUCGUCUGAGCUUUCUCAUGGUGUCUUCCUUCUUAUGUUGUUGUUCCUGCUGCUUGGUUCGUUGCUAAGAUUGUAAAGAAGUUCCCCAUCAUCAAUCAUGAUUCAUUCAUCUUAGUGUCUCUCUCGGAAGAGUGGCACCAAUGACUUCUCAAUUUCUUAUAUACUAGGGAAUACAGUUUUUUUUUUUUCUUAAAAAGAUGCCCAAAAAGGUUUCGUCCUUUUCUUUUAGUACCUUAUGAAUAACAUGGUUAAUAUUUUAAUAUCAAA